GUGCUCGCUUCGGCAGCACAUACACACUACAUCGGAACGAUACAGGAACGGUUAACAGGGCUCCUGCACACAGAUGAGAUGCCGAUUCGUGAUAUGUCCCCUAUUUUU
This is a small nuclear RNA of Phyllostomus discolor (pale spear-nosed bat), 108 nucleotides long. The record is from RefSeq and is a predicted model, not a curated record. NCBI's taxonomy places the organism in Eukaryota, Metazoa, Chordata, Mammalia, Chiroptera, Phyllostomidae.